UACAGGGGGUGCAAACGUUGCUCGGAAUCAUUGGGCGUAAAGCGCACGUAGGCGGUCUGUUAUGUCGGAUGUGAAAGCCCUUGGCUCAACUGAGGAAGUGCAUCCGAAACUGGCAGGCUAGAGUACUAAAGAGGGUAGUGGAAUCCCCGGUGUAGCAGUGAAAUGCGUAGAGAUCGGGAGGAACAUCUGUGGCGAAGGCGACUGCCUGGACCAGCACUGACACUGAGGCACGAAAGCGUGGGGAGCAAACAGG
Molecule: ribosomal RNA, 253 nt
Filed under: uncultured bacterium
Lineage: Bacteria
Description: partial 16S ribosomal RNA
Rfam family: Bacterial small subunit ribosomal RNA
Source: RNAcentral